AAAAAAAAAUCCAUGGUGGUGUGUACAGUGCUGGUGAAGUGGAAAGAAACAGGCUAGUGAGGCUGGAGGGAGCAGCACCAUGCUGCUGUCAGCUUCUGCAAACACACAGCUUCAUUUCUAACAUGGCUCUUUCUCCAGACCUCUCACACAAAUAGUUCCAGAACCCUGGAAUUUGUCUGCAAGGUCUGCAGCUUGUGAAAAUCUCACAGAGGUCAAUAUUUCCAGGGCAGCAAGCUCACUGCUGUUAUGCAGAGAUUCAUUGCACUUUGCCUGUCAGCCUGGCAUCACGAUCCACCGGAUGGCUUUCACCCCCCAGCAGCUGCCCACGUUCAUUUAAACUGGCAGGAUGACACCGUGCCGAUCUGCCGCCGGAAGCAGCGGUGGCAGCGCUCAGGAUGGCGCCGGACCUCCUUCUUCCAGGGGAUGGGCCAGGUCUUUCCCCAUGGCACCAGCAGAGGAGCAGCACUGCCCAGGGCGGCUGGAACACCCGGCACCACUCUGCCUCUGCAGUCACACGUUUCCUUUCUGACAACGGGGAAAGGGGUUUACCACUUCCAGGGCCUUUCUGCACGGGUUUGGGGGAGGUUGAAAAAUAGACACCUUCUUUCAGAUGUGGGUGCUGGGGAAGGGCAGGACUGGGCUGUCACCUCUGAGCUGUCUCCUCUGAGCUGUCUCCUCUGAGCUGUCCCUGAGGGUUCAGAGGGAGUUGUGGUCAGGUCACAGCCUACCUCGAUGUGUACAGGCGUGGUGUGGUGAGCAAGGCAGCGCAGAACACUGGGAGAACAGAAAUCUGUGCCCAAAACCCACCUGCCCACACAAAGACACAGAUUACCCAGCACAGAGCCACUGCACAUCAAGUGCCUUGGCACCUCCAUGCCAUCAAGUGACCACCAACUUCAGCCUUAACCCAGCAUGUGACACAGCUCAUCCAGCACCCUACAAUCUCCAGGUGUACCAGCACUUUGCAGGACAGGAUUAUAAGGAUCUCUGACUGCAUGCUGGGGACUGUCCUCAGGGGACACAAAACUGCUGUUACUCCCCAAUUUAAAAGCCUCCUGGCUCAUUUAGCUUUUGGCAUGCAUCAUUUUUGCUACCUGUUCCUAAGAAGAGACCAUCUUCAUGAUUUUCUGCAUUCUCUGAUAAUGUUUCCCUCCUAAGAAAUAUCCUUUCAAAGGGCCUUUAUCUGCAGGGUUGGCUGAGGGUCUAAUAUUGCAUCCCCAUUCUGCAUUUGCUGAAAGAGCUGAUAAUGUCCUAAAAAGAAUUAACAUUUAGAUGUUAGUCCUGUAACCAAAUCUGAAUCAAACAAUGAUGACCGUUCAAAUGUCUAAAGCUACUCAGGGGUAUUUUCAUUUAAGCCCUACCAAGCUUGUACCAGGGGUGAGGAGGUUUCUAAAGAUGCCUUUGUGAGCACCAGCCUCUGAAACCCUUCUCCUUGUCCCUCCAGACACAGAUACAAUUAUACCCAGCUCCAGCACAAAGAUAAAGGCUGAAUUACAAGAGCAGCAUUAUGCUCCACAAUCAAGGUCCUUGAUUCCAAUUGACAAGGAACGCAAAUCAUGCGCAGUUUAUCUGCGGAUGCUUCCACUCCUGGAAAUCAUUCCCAUCACAGGAUAGAAAUGAGUUCAAUAGACAGGGUUACCUUUUGCAUUUCCUCCCCAAAUUGCUAAAUCACCUUGUCAGUUUGUGAGAUCUCACAAGUAAUGCAGGGUCAAACCUGUCCAACACUUGUCUGAGAUAUUUCUUUGUGGAAGGUUUAACUACCAGCUGCUACAGUUUCCCUGAUAAUAAAGUGUUUUCUUACCUUUAGUGGCA
RNAcentral lists this long non-coding RNA (1812 nucleotides) under Cyanistes caeruleus (blue tit). RNAcentral describes it as "lncRNA (ENSCCEG00000013616.1)". Lineage: Eukaryota; Metazoa; Chordata; Aves; Passeriformes; Paridae. The record is from RNAcentral.